RNAcentral lists this ribosomal RNA (610 nucleotides) under uncultured bacterium. RNAcentral's name for it is "bacterial SSU rRNA". The stretch from base 1 to 517 matches the Rfam family "Bacterial small subunit ribosomal RNA", at positions 338 to 873 of the family's 1533-position model. The record is from RNAcentral.
CCUACGGGAGGCGGCAGUGGGGAAUAUUGGACAAUGGGCGAAAGCCUGAUCCAGCAAUGCCGCGUGAGUGAUGAAGGCCUUAGGGUUGUAAAGCUCUUUUACCAGGGAUGAUAAUGACAGUACCUGGAGAAUAAGCUCCGGCUAACUCCGUGCCAGCAGCCGCGGUAAUACGGAGGGAGCUAGCGUUGUUCGGAAUUACUGGGCGUAAAGCGUACGUAGGCGGUUAUUCAAGUCAGAGGUGAAAGCCCGGGGCUCAACCCCGGAACUGCCUUUGAAACUAGAUAGCUAGAAUCUUGGAGAGGUUAGUGGAAUUCCGAGUGUAGAGGUGAAAUUCGUAGAUAUUCGGAAGAGCACCAGUGGCGAAGGCGACUAACUGGACAAGUAUUGACGCUGAGGUACGAAAGCGUGGGGAGCAAACAGGAUUAGAUACCCUGGUAGUCCACGCCGUAAACGAUGAUAACUAGUUGUUCGGGCACUUGGUGCCUGAGUGACGCAGCUACGCAUUAAGUUAUCCGUCCGUCGGGUAGGUACGGUCGCGAGAGUUAAACGUACAAUAGAGUUAGACGGUCGUGUAGACGUUGUCCGACGGACGACGACGAGGGGAGGUAGG